This 253-nucleotide ribosomal RNA is filed under the name uncultured bacterium. RNAcentral's name for it is "partial 16S ribosomal RNA". It matches the Rfam family "Bacterial small subunit ribosomal RNA", at positions 524 to 776 of the family's 1533-position model. The record is from RNAcentral.
UACGAAGGGGGCUAGCGUUGCUCGGAAUUACUGGGCGUAAAGGGCGCGUAGGCGGCCUGCUAAGUCGAACGUGAAAUCCCUGGGCUCAACCCAGGAACUGCGUCCGAUACUGGUUGGCUUGAAUCCGGGAGAGGGAUGUGGAAUUCCAGGUGUAGCGGUGAAAUGCGUAGAUAUCUGGAGGAACACCGGUGGCGAAGGCGACAUCCUGGACCGGUAUUGACGCUGAGGCGCGAAAGCUAGGGGAGCAAACGGG